UNUNNNNNCACUACCGAUUGNAUGGCUCAGUGAGGCCUCCGGAUUGGUUUAGGAAAGGGGGCAACUCCAUUCUGGAACCGAGAAGCUGGUCACACUUGGUCAUUUAGAGGAAGUAAAAGUCGUAACAAGGUUUCCGUAGGUGAACCUGCGGAAGGAUCAUUACUGAUUUGCUUAAUUGCACCACAUGUGUUUUGUUCUGGACAAACUUGCUUUGGCGGUGGGCCCCUGCCUGCCGCCAGAGGACAUAAACUUACAACCAAAUUUUUUAUAAACUUGUCACGAGAUUAUUUUUAAUAGUCAAAACUUUCAACAACGGAUCUCUUGGUUCUCGCAUCGAUGAAGAACGCAGCGAAAUGCGAUACGUAAUAUGAAUUGCAGAUAUUCGUGAAUCAUCGAAUCUUUGAACGCACAUUGCGCCCUCUGGUAUUCCGGAGGGCAUGCCUGUUUGAGCGUCGUUUCUCCCUCAAACCCCUAGGGUUUGGUGUUGAGCAAUACGACUUGGGUUUGCUUGAAAGAUGAUAGUGGUAUAAGGCGGAGAUGCUUGACAAUGGCUUAGGUGUAACCAAAAACAUUGCUAAGGCGGUCUCUGGCGUCGCCCAUUUUAUUCUUCAAACUUUGACCUCAAAUCAGUGNNUCC
This 637-nucleotide unclassified non-coding RNA is filed under the name Candida dubliniensis. Its description in RNAcentral is "sequence contains 18S rRNA gene, ITS1, 5.8S rRNA gene, ITS2, 28S rRNA gene". The stretch from base 302 to 455 matches the Rfam family "5.8S ribosomal RNA". Lineage: Eukaryota; Fungi; Ascomycota; Pichiomycetes; Serinales; Debaryomycetaceae. The record is from RNAcentral.